UACGUAGGGGGGCAAGCGUUGUCCGGAUUUAUUGGGCGUAAAGGGCGCGUAGGCGGUUUGUUAAGUCGGUCGUGAAAGCCCGGGGCUCAACCCCGGAGGGUCGACCGAUACUGGCAGACUAGAGUACAGAAGAGGUAACUGGAAUUCCCGGUGUAGCGGUGAAAUGCGCAGAUAUCAGGGAGGAACACCGGUGGCGAAGGCGGGUCUCUGGGCCGUAACUGACGCUGGAGGAAGCGAAAGCCGUGGGGAGCGAACAGG
Molecule: ribosomal RNA, 258 nt
Filed under: uncultured bacterium
Lineage: Bacteria
Description: partial 16S ribosomal RNA
Rfam family: Bacterial small subunit ribosomal RNA
Source: RNAcentral